UACGUAGGGUGCGAGCGUUGUCCGGAAUUACUGGGCGUAAAGAGCUCGUAGGUGGUUUGUCGCGUCGUCUGUGAAAUUCCGGGGCUUAACUCCGGGCGUGCAGGCGAUACGGGCAUAACUUGAGUACUGUAGGGGAGACUGGAAUUCCUGGUGUAGCGGUGAAAUGCGCAGAUAUCAGGAGGAACACCGGUGGCGAAGGCGGGUCUCUGGGCAGUAACUGACGCUGAGGAGCGAAAGCAUGGGUAGCGAACAGGAUUAGAUACCCUGGUAGUCCAUGCCGUAAACGGUGGGCGCUAGGUGUAGGGGUCUUCCACGACUUCUGUGCCGUAGCUAACGCAAUAAGCGCCCCGCCUGGGGAGUACGGCCGCAAGGCUAAAACUCAAAGGAAUUGACGGGG
Molecule: ribosomal RNA, 397 nt
Filed under: uncultured bacterium
Lineage: Bacteria
Description: partial 16S ribosomal RNA
Rfam family: Bacterial small subunit ribosomal RNA
Source: RNAcentral